This 100-nucleotide transfer RNA is filed under the name Burkholderia territorii. Its description in RNAcentral is "tRNA-Arg". Lineage: Bacteria; Pseudomonadati; Pseudomonadota; Betaproteobacteria; Burkholderiales; Burkholderiaceae. The record is from RNAcentral.
CGCAUACAUUGGGUACAGCAUCGCGGCCCGCGCGGGUUUCUGGCCCGCGCUCGCACUCGCGCCGGUCGCGGUCGGCCUGCUCGGCGCCGGCUGCGAGCGU